CGGGUGAGUAACGCGUGGUCAACCUACCGUUGAGUGGGGGAUAACUAGCCGAAAGGUUAGCUAAUACCGCAUACGUCUCCGAGUGGCAUCACUUGGCGAUAAAAGGAGCAAUCCGCUCGAUGACGGGACCGCGUCCCAUUAGCUAGAUGGUGGGGUAAUGGCCUACCAUGGCACCGAUGGGUAGCUGGUUUGAGAGAGCGACCAGCCACACUGGGAUUGAGAACGGCCCAG
Molecule: ribosomal RNA, 231 nt
Filed under: uncultured bacterium
Lineage: Bacteria
Description: partial 16S ribosomal RNA
Rfam family: Bacterial small subunit ribosomal RNA
Source: RNAcentral